RNAcentral lists this transfer RNA (81 nucleotides) under Trichonephila clavata. It matches the Rfam family "tRNA". From Rfam's summary of the family: Transfer RNA (tRNA) molecules are approximately 80 nucleotides in length. Their secondary structure includes four short double-helical elements and three loops (D, anti-codon, and T loops). Further hydrogen bonds mediate the characteristic L-shaped molecular structure. tRNAs have two regions of fundamental functional importance: the anti-codon, which is responsible for specific mRNA codon recognition, and the 3' end, to which the tRNAs corresponding amino acid is attached (by aminoacyl-tRNA synthetases). tRNAs cope with the degeneracy of the genetic code in two manners: having more than one tRNA (with a specific anti-codon) for a particular amino acid; and 'wobble' base-pairing, i.e. permitting non-standard base-pairing at the 3rd anti-codon position. Lineage: Eukaryota; Metazoa; Arthropoda; Arachnida; Araneae; Nephilidae. The record is from Rfam by way of RNAcentral.
GCAGUCGUGGCCGAGAGGUUAAGGCGAUGGACUCGAAAUCCAUUGGGGUCUCCCGCGCAGCUUCGAAUCCUGCCGGCUGCG